This 597-nucleotide long non-coding RNA is filed under the name Prunus dulcis (almond). Its description in RNAcentral is "sRNA ncRNA". Lineage: Eukaryota; Viridiplantae; Streptophyta; Magnoliopsida; Rosales; Rosaceae. The record is from RNAcentral.
AUUUGACCUGAUGAGCUAUAUGAAAUUUUCUCUUUUCUGGUAUAUAGAGACACUUUUGAAUUGGGAUGGGUUUGGCUUAGUUUUUAAUUCUUGUGAUUUUUUAUUUUUUUUUUGGCUUAAUCUGUAAUGGGUUAUGUGAUUCUUUCCUGUUUCUGGUAUAAACUUUGAUAAUUUCUCUCGUGUGGUUUAAUCUGACAUGAGUUCAUGGGUCAUGUUCAUGUAGAUGGAGGAUGACGAAGAAGAGGAACAGUAAUCAUUCUCUAAACUAUGUGGCUAAUGCUUUUCAGUUAGGGGGUUUUUAAUAUGGUGCUGGGAAAGCACAGGGACAUAAAGCCUCUUUUGUUGAAAUUUGGGGUGGCCUUUGCCCUCUCUUUUGCUGGAUUUCUCUUUUCUCGUCUCUUUUACUGGUACAAGUCUAUUUUUUUGCAGCUCCCUUAACUGAUACAAGGGAAUCUGUUUGGUAUUUAAAAUCUAAUUUGGUAUUUUACUUAUAUUUUUUGUCAUGGGUUGUAAAAUAUAAUUUGGUGCUUUGGUUUUUUUGUCAUGGGAUGUAACUUGUAAGAAACAACUAAUUUGAUAGUUGGAUGAUGCAUGUGC